This 253-nucleotide ribosomal RNA is filed under the name uncultured bacterium. RNAcentral's name for it is "partial 16S ribosomal RNA". It matches the Rfam family "Bacterial small subunit ribosomal RNA", at positions 524 to 776 of the family's 1533-position model. The record is from RNAcentral.
UACGGAGGGGGCAAGCGUUGUUCGGAAUCAUUGGGCGUAAAGAGUAUGUAGGCGGCUAUUUAAGUCAGACGUGCAAGCCCACGGCUCAACCGUGGAAUUGCGUUUGAAACUAUUUAGCUUGAGUUCAGGAGAGGAAGGCGGAAUUCCCAGUGUAGCGGUGAAAUGCAUUGAUAUUGGGAAGAACACCAGUGGCGAAGGCGGCCUUCUGGUCUGAUACUGACGCUGAGAUACGAAAGCCAGGGGAGCGAACGGG